CGUCACUUCCUCACGGAGCCGGCGAACCCGGAACAAGUAUUUGUGCACAUGAUCUACGCACCCCUGGACCCCGUCAACCCUCAUCCGCAGUUCGUCCAUCUUUACCAACCCUUGAAAGUUGCUGAUGGUGAGUUCAUCAAGAUGAUGGAGUAAGGUGGUGGCGCCAUAACGGCUGCAUGAGGUGGCAGGUGAGUUCAAAUCUUGCAUUAGUCGCAAAUCUAAUGCAUCUGAAAGAACACUAUACUUCUCUGUCUAGAUGAACCACCUCUAACACACAGGAAAGGCUUCACGACAGGACUUGUGUUUUAUACGAUCUCAUCCGCGAACACUUUCAUCACGGAGGUCGAGCUCCUUGGUCCGGUUGAAGAGGACGGCGGAGAUGCUUGAUGUUCCUGCACAGGGUCAGGCUCACAGUGGAGGACGGCUGGAGUAAACGGUGGAGCGCCACCUGGAGGAGCAAAGAAGCUUCUUGUUAGUCUAUUUUUAAUUUGACAAAACCUUUCAAAGUUACUUAACAUACAUCCACCUUGAUCAAAAUAAGUUCACCUUUAUAAAUUUUUUACAGUCACAUUGGUCUGUGGAUGUACUCGUGUAUGAAUUUCUUUUUUGCUAUCCUGACUACACCAUGUAACCACAUUUGAAUGUUAAAUAUGUAGUACACUUAACACCUGUACUGUAUAUUUAACAACUCAAAAACACAAAGCUUCUUUUCACAGUUAAGAGCUGAACGUGUUGGUUUUUUCAUCACUAUAAAUAAACAAAUCAGUGUGAAUGAUCUCAUCACAUUAA
This is a long non-coding RNA of Scophthalmus maximus (turbot), 789 nucleotides long. RefSeq lists it as uncharacterized. The record is from RefSeq and is a predicted model, not a curated record. Lineage: Eukaryota; Metazoa; Chordata; Actinopteri; Pleuronectiformes; Scophthalmidae. The transcript has 3 exons.